CCUACGGGCGGCAGCAGUGAGGAAUAUUGGUCAAUGGGCGGAAGCCUGAACCAGCCAAGUAGCGUGCGGGAUGAAGGCCCUACGGGUCGUAAACCGCUUUUGCACGAGGAUAACACCCUACACUUGUGGAUGUCUGCAGGUACCGUACGAAUAAGGGCCGGCUAAUUCCGUGCCAGCAGCCGCGGUAAUACGGAAGGCCCGAGCGUUAUCCGGAUUCAUUGGGCUUAAAGGGAGCGUAGGCGGGCGAUCAAGUCAGCUGUAAAAUCGCGCGGCUCAACCGCGCCCCGCAGUUGAAACUGGACGGCUUGAGUGCACAUGAGGCAGGCGGAAUUCGUGGUGUAGCGGUGAAAUGCAUAGAUAUCACGAGGAACCCCGAUUGCGAAGGCAGCCUGCCGGGGUGCGACUGACGCUGAGGCUCGAAGGUGCGGGUAUCAAACAGGAUUAGAUACCCCUGUAGUC
This 459-nucleotide ribosomal RNA is filed under the name uncultured bacterium. Its description in RNAcentral is "partial 16S ribosomal RNA". It matches the Rfam family "Bacterial small subunit ribosomal RNA", at positions 338 to 795 of the family's 1533-position model. The record is from RNAcentral.